RNAcentral lists this transfer RNA (76 nucleotides) under Mollicutes bacterium PWAP. Its description in RNAcentral is "tRNA-His". It matches the Rfam family "tRNA". From Rfam's summary of the family: Transfer RNA (tRNA) molecules are approximately 80 nucleotides in length. Their secondary structure includes four short double-helical elements and three loops (D, anti-codon, and T loops). Further hydrogen bonds mediate the characteristic L-shaped molecular structure. tRNAs have two regions of fundamental functional importance: the anti-codon, which is responsible for specific mRNA codon recognition, and the 3' end, to which the tRNAs corresponding amino acid is attached (by aminoacyl-tRNA synthetases). tRNAs cope with the degeneracy of the genetic code in two manners: having more than one tRNA (with a specific anti-codon) for a particular amino acid; and 'wobble' base-pairing, i.e. permitting non-standard base-pairing at the 3rd anti-codon position. Lineage: Bacteria; Bacillati; Mycoplasmatota; Mollicutes. The record is from RNAcentral.
GCAAGUAUGGUGAAGUGGUUAACACACUGGGUUGUGGUCCCAGCAUUCGAGAGUUCGAUCCUCUCUACUUGCCCCA